This 465-nucleotide ribosomal RNA is filed under the name uncultured Klebsiella sp. RNAcentral's name for it is "bacterial SSU rRNA". It matches the Rfam family "Bacterial small subunit ribosomal RNA", at positions 338 to 795 of the family's 1533-position model. Lineage: Bacteria; Pseudomonadati; Pseudomonadota; Gammaproteobacteria; Enterobacterales; Enterobacteriaceae. The record is from RNAcentral.
CCUACGGGGGGCUGCAGUGGGGAAUAUUGCACAAUGGGCGCAAGCCUGAUGCAGCCAUGCCGCGUGUGUGAAGAAGGCCUUCGGGUUGUAAAGCACUUUCAGCGGGGAGGAAGGCGUUAAGGUUAAUAACCUUGUCGAUUGACGUUACCCGCAGAAGAAGCACCGGCUAACUCCGUGCCAGCAGCCGCGGUAAUACGGAGGGUGCAAGCGUUAAUCGGAAUUACUGGGCGUAAAGCGCACGCAGGCGGUCUGUCAAGUCGGAUGUGAAAUCCCCGGGCUCAACCUGGGGACUGCAUUCGAAACUGGCAGGCUAGAGUCUUGUAGAGGGGGGUAGAAUUCCAGGUGUAGCGGUGAAAUGCGUAGAGAUCUGGAGGAAUACCGGUGGCGAAGGCGGCCCCCUGGACAAAGACUGACGCUCAGGUGCGAAAGCGUGGGGAGCAAACAGGAUUAGAUACCCCAGUAGUC